AUCCUGUGCGUACUGUGGUAUGUUCACGGAUAAGAAAUCACUAUAUAUAGAACAGGAUACACACAUUGUUUAUUUUCCUCAUAGUGCUUCUAGCGUUCAGAUUAACCAUAAUGCUGAUGAAAGUUUUAAUUUUCACGGUGUGGAUUUACGUCAGCGUCCAGGGAAAGCCCCAGAAACUGCAAUACCUGGAGAAACGAUUAUUGGUAGAAUCUCCACUGAUAAUCUCCACAGCCUCUCCUCUUAGCCAGUCAUGCUCUUCGUCUCAUGAUUGUCCCGCGGGCUCAAGUUGCCGAGAUGUCAAUGGUAGAAUUAUCUAUUUAAGGAAAACCGCUUUUGGCUAUGAAAAAAUGUUUAGAGGUGAAGGUACUUGUGGUGCUGGACCGGGACCUAAUGAAGUUUGUGAAGGUUUAUCGGGAUGUCCUACAGAUUAUGAAUGUUAUCGUGAAAUGAGCGGGUAUUGCUGUCCACCAUCACAUUGUGUAACCCAGCAAUAUGCACAAGAGAGAAGAGAUCACUGGGCAAAUUGUCGACCACCUACUUGUCACUUUCCCCACUAAAUAGUGUUUUUAUUCAAAUAGCAGAACAUUCACAAAUAAAUCAAGUGUAUGCAAAUAA
Molecule: long non-coding RNA, 615 nt
Organism: Patella vulgata (common limpet)
Lineage: Eukaryota; Metazoa; Mollusca; Gastropoda; Patellidae
Exons: 5
Source: RefSeq, a predicted model, not a curated record